Molecule: ribosomal RNA, 392 nt
Filed under: uncultured bacterium
Lineage: Bacteria
Description: partial 16S ribosomal RNA
Rfam family: Bacterial small subunit ribosomal RNA
Source: RNAcentral
AUACGGAGGAUCCGAGCGUUAUCCGGAUUUAUUGGGUUUAAAGGGUGCGCAGGCGGCCAUUUAAGUCAGCGGUUAAAUCGUGGGGCUCAACCCCAUUCUGCCGUUGAUACUGGGUGGCUUGAUUGCGGUCGAGGUUGGCGGAAUUCGUUGUGUAGCGGUGGAAUGCAUAGAUAUGACGAAGAACACCGAUUGCGUAGGCAGCUGACCAGACCGCAAAUGACGCUCAUGCACGAAAGUGCGGGGAUCGAACAGGAUUAGAUACCCUGGUAGUCCGCACAGUAAACGAUGAAUACUUGUUUUCAGCGAUAUAAUGUCGGAGGCAAAGCGAAAGCGAUAAGUAUUCCACCUGGGGAGUACGCCGGCAACGGUGAAACUCAAAGGAAUUGACGGGG